RNAcentral lists this long non-coding RNA (1023 nucleotides) under Oryctolagus cuniculus (rabbit). RNAcentral's name for it is "lncRNA (ENSOCUG00000030177.1)". Lineage: Eukaryota; Metazoa; Chordata; Mammalia; Lagomorpha; Leporidae. The record is from RNAcentral.
AUGGCUGCAAUGGCCCUAAGGCUGGGCCAUACUGAGGCCAGGAGCCAAGAGCUUCUUCUAGGUCUCCCACAUGGGUGGCAGGGGCCCAAGCUCCUGGGCCAUCUUCUGUUGCUUUUCCCAAGUACAUCAGCAGGGAGCUGGACGGGAAGUGGAGCAACGGGGACUCCGCCGUUGUCCAUGUGGGAUGCUGGCAUCGUCGUCCCAGGAGGCAGCUUUAUGCGCUACACCACAACAGCAGCCCCUUCGUAUUCUUUAACUCCUUAUCCUCUUUGGGCCUACACUAAAAAUCCUCGGAAGAUGGCUUCUACUUCACCCUCAGGCAUGAGCUCUCUGAAGGCGUCUGCUCUGAGCCUGGAACUUCUGACCUGGAACACGUGCGGCCUCCUCUCAGCUGGUCCUCAGAAUAAAGCACAGAUCCCACGUCUGUUAGAUACAGCGAGGCGUAAUUGGUGGUGGCCAUAUUGGUCCUGUGGUUGUUUGCGGAGAGGCUACUCUUCCCCUCCCUCGUCCUUCUGCGUCUGCCUGCAGGACGAUGAGCCCCUCAUGCCAGCACCUGAAAGGGAACCACCCCUCGGCUGAAAUCCUGGGGUCCUGAUGGACAGCAACGGAGAGCUACUCCGCCCGGUGUCCUGUUUUCUGGCCCACCUGCCACGGAUUCCACAGUCGCCUUCACUCGAGUAGGCAGCCGCUCUUCAGACUGCGAAGUCAGGGUUGGCUUUGACUCUGAUGAAACCAUUGUGGAUAUGCCACACCCAUUUCCCAGUAGGCUGGCUUCGCACCUCCCCCUAAGAGCUUUUCCAGCUCGUUCCCUUUGGGUAACCUGGCAGGCUCUGCACAGUGCCCGUACCCAGUGACAGCUUAAAUGGUUCUGCAAUGACUCAAAGGCGAAACCAUGAGCUGGAACAGAGGGGCUGACAAAGGCGAUGGCGAGAAGCUGACAGAAAACGGAAGUAGGUGACUGAAACAGGACCAGAACCAUCCUGGCCACUUGGUCUAAAUAAACAGAUUUGACUGGCUUUGCCA